This 301-nucleotide ribosomal RNA is filed under the name uncultured bacterium. RNAcentral describes it as "partial 16S ribosomal RNA". It matches the Rfam family "Bacterial small subunit ribosomal RNA", at positions 509 to 809 of the family's 1533-position model. The record is from RNAcentral.
CAGUCGCCGCGGUAAUACGGAGGGUGCAAGCGUUAAUCGGAAUUACUGGGCGUAAAGCGCACGCAGGCGGUCUGUCAAGUCAGAUGUGAAAUCCCCGGGCUUAACCUGGGAACUGCAUUUGAAACUGGCAGGCUAGAGUCUUGUAGAGGGGGGUAGAAUUCCAGGUGUAGCGGUGAAAUGCGUAGAGAUCUGGAGGAAUACCGGUGGCGAAGGCGGCCCCCUGGACAAAGACUGACGCUCAGGUGCGAAAGCGUGGGGAGCAAACAGGAUUAGAUACCCCUGUAGUCCCUGUCUCUUAUCA